AUUGAACGCUGGCGGCAGGCCUAACACAUGCAAGUCGAGCGGCAGCGGGAAGUAGUUUACUACUUUGCCGGCGAGCGGCGCACGGGUGAGUAACGCGUAUGCAACCUACCUAUCAGAGGGGGAUAGCCCAUUGAAAGAUGGAUUAAUACCGCAUAAAACAGGGGUCCCGCAUGGGAGUAUUUGUUAAAGAUUAAUUGCUGAUAGAUGGGCAUGCGUUCCAUUAGUUAGUUGGUAGGGUAACGGCUUACCAAGACAUCGAUGGAUAGGGGUUCUGAGAGGAAGGUCCCCCACACUGGUACUGAGACACGGACCAGACUCCUACGGGAGGCAGCAGUGAGGAAUAUUGGUCAAUGGGCGAGAGCCUGAACCAGCCAAGUCGCGUGAAGGAUGACUGCCCUAUGGGUUGUAAACUUCUUUUAUUGGGGAAUAAAAAAGGGUAUGUAUACUCUAUUGCAUGUACCUAAUGAAUAAGCAUCGGCUAACUCCGUGCCAGCCGCCGCAGUAAAAC
This 508-nucleotide ribosomal RNA is filed under the name uncultured bacterium. RNAcentral's name for it is "bacterial SSU rRNA". It matches the Rfam family "Bacterial small subunit ribosomal RNA", at positions 30 to 526 of the family's 1533-position model. The record is from RNAcentral.